RNAcentral lists this ribosomal RNA (776 nucleotides) under uncultured Neocallimastigales. RNAcentral describes it as "partial large subunit ribosomal RNA". It matches the Rfam family "Eukaryotic large subunit ribosomal RNA", at positions 22 to 612 of the family's 3401-position model. The record is from RNAcentral. Lineage: Eukaryota; Fungi; Neocallimastigomycota; Neocallimastigomycetes; Neocallimastigales.
GUACACGCUGUGACUAGCAUAUCAAUAAGCGGAGGAAAAGAAACUAACAAGGAUUUCCCUUAGUAACGGCGAGUGAAGCGGGAAGAGCUCAAAUUUGAAAUCUUCAAGGUUUUACCUUGACGAAUUGUAGUUUAAAGAAGUGUUUUCUGCUGAAGUUUUGGUAAAAGUUCUUUGGAAUAGGACAUCAUAGAGGGUGAGAAUCCCGUAUUUGACCAUUAUUUUCAGCUUUGUGAUACACUUUCAAAGAGUCGGAUUGUUUGGGAAUGCAGUCCAAAAUGGGUGGUAAAUUUCAUCUAAAGCUAAAUAUUGGCGAGAGACCGAUAGCGAACAAGUACCGUGAGGGAAAGAUGAAAAGAACUUUGAAAAGAGAGUUAAACAGUACGUGAAAUUGUCAAAAGGGAAGCGUUUGACACCAGUGUUGUUUUCUCGAAAAUCAAUUAAAAAUGGCUCGAUUUUGUAUUGCUGAGACCUUAAAAGCUCACUGUACAUUUUUCGUGUCUUUUUUAAUGCACUUUUCGUUUAACAAGUCAACAUCAGUUUCUUUUGUUGUAAAAGGGUCAUUGGAAGGUGGCUUUCUUUUCGGAGAAAGUGUUUAUAGCCUUUGGCCUCUGCAAUCGGAGAGACUGAGGUCUGACAGCGUAGACUCUUCGGGGUUAGAUACAUUUGUGCUAAGUUAUAGCUUUUUAUAGACAACUUGUUGACUAUAAUUAGUCUUGUAGCUUACUCGCUUAUGCUAUUUUACCUACGCUUAGGAUGUUGACGCAUGAGAUAUACGC